CCUACGGGUGGCAGCAGUGGGGAAUAUUGGACAAUGGGGGCAACCCUGAUCCAGCCAUGCCGCGUGUGUGAAGAAGGCCCUCGGGUUGUAAAGCACUUUCAGUGAGGAAGAACGCCUGGUGGUUAAUACCCAUCAGGAAAGACAUCACUCACAGAAGAAGCACCGGCUAACUCCGUGCCAGCAGCCGCGGUAAUACGGAGGGUGCGAGCGUUAAUCGGAAUUACUGGGCGUAAAGCGCGCGUAGGUGGCUUGAUAAGCCGGUUGUGAAAGCCCGGGCUCAACCUGGGAACGGCAUCCGGAACUGUCAAGCUAGAGUGCAGGAGAGGAAGGUAGAAUUCCCGGUGUAGCGGUGAAAUGCGUAGAGAUCGGGAGGAAUACCAGUGGCGAAGGCGGCCUUCUGGACUGACACUGACACUGAGGUGCGAAAGCGUGGGUAGCAAACAGGAUUAGAUACCCCAGUAGUC
RNAcentral lists this ribosomal RNA (464 nucleotides) under Vreelandella stevensii. Its description in RNAcentral is "partial 16S ribosomal RNA". It matches the Rfam family "Bacterial small subunit ribosomal RNA", at positions 338 to 795 of the family's 1533-position model. The record is from RNAcentral. Lineage: Bacteria; Pseudomonadati; Pseudomonadota; Gammaproteobacteria; Oceanospirillales; Halomonadaceae.